AACUGAUACUACCUGCGGGAACCUGCGGAAGGAUCAUCAUUGAAUUAACUAACCCCAAGCUUGAGCUUUGGAAGAAAUGCAUUUUUCUUCUGGCUUGGUUUGGCUUGGCUUGGCAAACAAUUUUGAUACCCAAAAAGAGAGAAGAGAGUUUCAUCUUUAUCUUCAGUCUUUGGCCUAUAUAUUUACUUGGGUUGAUAGCUGGGGAGAAGAGAGAGAAACCCUGCCUGAAAAUAACACAUG
Molecule: unclassified non-coding RNA, 240 nt
Filed under: soil metagenome
Description: partial contains 5.8S ribosomal RNA, internal transcribed spacer 2, and large subunit ribosomal RNA
Source: RNAcentral